RNAcentral lists this ribosomal RNA (610 nucleotides) under uncultured soil bacterium. RNAcentral describes it as "bacterial SSU rRNA". It matches the Rfam family "Bacterial small subunit ribosomal RNA", at positions 35 to 689 of the family's 1533-position model. The record is from RNAcentral.
GCUGGCGGCAGGCUUAACACAUGCAAGUCGAGCGGGCGUAGCAAUACGUCAGCGGCAGACGGGUGAGUAACGCGUGGGAACGUACCUUUUGGUUCGGAACAACACAGGGAAACUUGUGCUAAUACCGGAUAAGCCCUUACGGGGAAAGAUUUAUCGCCGAAAGAUCGGCCCGCGUCUGAUUAGCUAGUUGGUGAGGUAACGGCUCACCAAGGCGACGAUCAGUAGCUGGUCUGAGAGGAUGAUCAGCCACAUUGGGACUGAGACACGGCCCAAACUCCUACGGGAGGCAGCAGUGGGGAAUAUUGGACAAUGGGCGCAAGCCUGAUCCAGCCAUGCCGCGUGAGUGAUGAAGGCCCUAGGGUUGUAAAGCUCUUUUGUGCGGGAAGAUAAUGACGGUACCGCAAGAAUAAGCCCCGGCUAACUUCGUGCCAGCAGCCGCGGUAAUACGAAGGGGGCUAGCGUUGCUCGGAAUCACUGGGCGUAAAGGGUGCGUAGGCGGGUCUUUAAGUCAGGGGUGAAAUCCUGGAGCUCAACUCCAGAACUGCCUUUGAUACUGAGGAUCUUGAGUUCGGGAGAGGUGAGUGGAACUGCGAGUGUAGAGGUGAAAUUC